This 332-nucleotide unclassified non-coding RNA is filed under the name soil metagenome. RNAcentral's name for it is "partial contains 5.8S ribosomal RNA, internal transcribed spacer 2, and large subunit ribosomal RNA". The stretch from base 1 to 120 matches the Rfam family "5.8S ribosomal RNA", at positions 35 to 154 of the family's 154-position model. The record is from RNAcentral.
GAUGAAGAACGUAGCGAAAUGCGAUAAGUAGUGUGAAUUGCAGAAUUCAGUGAAUCAUCGAAUCUUUGAACGCACAUUGCGCCCUUUGGUAUUCCUUAGGGCAUGCCUGUUCGAGCGUCAUUUAAACCUUCAAGCUAAGCUUGGUGUUGGGUGACUGUCCGCUUCACUGCGGACUCGCCUCAAAAUUAUUGGCGGCCGGUACAUUGGCUUCGAGCGCAGCAGAAACGCGAACUCGGGCCCGUCGUAUUGGCUCCCAGAAGCUAUCUUCACAAUUUUGACCUUGGAUCAGGUAGGGAUACCCGCUGAACUUAAGCAUAUCAAUAAGCGGAGGA